AACACUUCACCUUCAAAAAAACCGGAAUAAUAGAUUUUGGCUGAAACAUUACACAUUCUGAGUUGGAAGAUGGUGAAGAGGAUGAAAGGUUGAGAGACGUGCCAAAUUCAGUGUUUCGAACAUUGAAAUAAGUGGCAGGAUUACUGCCUGCUGAUGAUGUUGAUUGAAAGUAGAGGCUCAACUCUGAUCUCCAAAUCCAGGAUUUGUUUGUGGUUAAGGCUACUGGACAAGAUGCACAUUUAGGUGAAUAAGAUCAAGGUCAUUGUCACGGAACCAGAUGCUCAGGAGAUCUAGCUCCGCGUUCAUUUUCUCUCCCCUACCCUCUGUCAGCACGAGGUCCACACUCAGUUCUCUCUGUAUGAGAAACACAGAUGCCGCACAGACAGGACUGUAGGGAGGUUCCCACGCGAGGCACAGGAGACUGGAACGCUAUUUCAGAACGGGGCCCUUUUUCCUGCCGUCGCUGGUGGUGAAGGACGAUGGAACCGUCACUGUUCAUUUCAGUAUUACUCAUCACUUUUGGAAGAUCGUAUCAAAGUGUAGCCAUGAAAUAUGUAAACUCCUACAUCAAUAUUUAGAAUGUAUAUAAAAAGCCACCUUCUAGAAAGUACUCAGUGUGCUAGAGCUAAGCAUGUAUGUAACAUGAUCAGGCUUGUUCCUCAUCCAACUUAGAAAGUCAGUGUCACCAAUGGCCUUUUAACAAGAAAAAAACCCAUGGCUCCUACCAGAAUGUAGACAGGCUAUAGGAAGCAGGCUUGGAAAUAUUAACCCUUGCCCUCCGGGUUUUCCAUUUCAUCUUGUCAUUUUAUUCUAAAGAGUAUUUUUAAAACUUCAUACAUGAAUUUCAUACAUGAGUACUGUAUUUGCAUUAUUUCUGUCCCUCCA
Nannospalax galili (Upper Galilee mountains blind mole rat) is the source of this 885-nucleotide long non-coding RNA. RefSeq lists it as uncharacterized. The record is from RefSeq and is a predicted model, not a curated record. Lineage: Eukaryota; Metazoa; Chordata; Mammalia; Rodentia; Spalacidae. The transcript has 3 exons.